GCUGGUUGUGGUGGUGCACUCCUGUAAUCCCAGCGGCUCAGGAGGCUGAGGCAGGAGGAUUGCAAGCCUCAGCAAAAGCGAGGUGCUAAUCAACUCAGUGAUACCCUGUCUCUA
This 114-nucleotide small RNA is filed under the name Marmota monax (woodchuck). Lineage: Eukaryota; Metazoa; Chordata; Mammalia; Rodentia; Sciuridae. The record is from RNAcentral.